GUCCACGCCGUAAACGAUGUUCACUAGGUGUUGGGGUAUUGACCCCUCAGUGCCGGAGCUAACGCAUUAAGUGAACCGCCUGGGGAGUACGGUCGCAAGACUAAAACUCAAAGGAAUUGACGGGGCCCGCACAAGCGGUGGAGCAUGUGGUUUAAUUCGAUGCAACGCGAAGAACCUUACCUGGGCUUGACAUCCACGGAACCUACUGGAAACAGCGGGGUGCCCCUUCGGGGAACCGUGAGACAGGUGCUGCAUGGCUGUCGU
This 264-nucleotide ribosomal RNA is filed under the name uncultured bacterium. RNAcentral's name for it is "partial 16S ribosomal RNA". It matches the Rfam family "Bacterial small subunit ribosomal RNA", at positions 793 to 1055 of the family's 1533-position model. The record is from RNAcentral.